This 407-nucleotide unclassified non-coding RNA is filed under the name Hevea brasiliensis (rubber tree). The record is from RNAcentral. Lineage: Eukaryota; Viridiplantae; Streptophyta; Magnoliopsida; Malpighiales; Euphorbiaceae.
CCAAAUUUCAGCUCUUUCAGGAAAGACUGGUUUUGCAUGACAUCUAACGCAUUAAAAACGUCAAAAUCCUUUUGCUUGGCAACAAUAAGUGCAUCGUUCAUCAACUGAAGCAGUGGAGUCUUAGUAGCAACAUUAUAAAAUGAAUAAGCAACCUUCAAAGUCGAGUAAUUCUGGUUGCCAAGGAUAGAUGAUGGAAGGGUGUAGAAGCUGCAGAAGUCAGUGAUCUCGUGAGUCUCUUGACUCUCAACCAAGUAACUAUCAACCACAUUCUCAGUUGGAAGAAGCCAGUGCUCCACAUCAUUCUCAUCAAAGUCUGGAGCAACAAUAAACUGGUUCAUGUAAUGUCUGAGUAAUCGUGUAACAGUAGGUACAUCAUGAAGCUCCAUUUUUCUAAAUCCAGGAGUAGC